This 473-nucleotide ribosomal RNA is filed under the name uncultured delta proteobacterium. RNAcentral describes it as "bacterial SSU rRNA". It matches the Rfam family "Bacterial small subunit ribosomal RNA", at positions 400 to 863 of the family's 1533-position model. The record is from RNAcentral. Lineage: Bacteria; Deltaproteobacteria.
CGUGAGUGAUGAAGGCUUUCGGGUCGUAAAGCUCUGUCAAGUGGGAAGAACCUAUAUAAUGUUAAUACCAUUAUAUAUUGACGGUACCACUGAAGGAAGCACCGGCUAACUCCGUGCCAGCAGCCGCGGUAAUACGGGGGGUGCAAGCGUUAUUCGGAAUCAUUGGGCGUAAAGAGCACGUAGGCGGCCUGGUAAGUCAGAUGUGAAAGCCCGGGGCUUAACCUCGGAAGUGCAUUUGAUACUGCCAGGCUUGAGUAUGGGAGAGGGAAGUGGAAUUCCUGGUGUAGAGGUGAAAUUCGUAGAUAUCAGGGGGAACACCGGUGGCGAAGGCGACUUCCUGGACCAAUACUGACGCUGAGGUGCGAAGGCGUGGGUAGCAAACAGGAUUAGAUACCCUGGUAGUCCACGCAGUAAACGUUGAUCACUAGGUGUAGCGGGUAUUGACCCCUGCUGUGCCGCAGUUAACGCAUUAA